RNAcentral lists this ribosomal RNA (253 nucleotides) under uncultured bacterium. RNAcentral's name for it is "partial 16S ribosomal RNA". It matches the Rfam family "Bacterial small subunit ribosomal RNA", at positions 524 to 776 of the family's 1533-position model. The record is from RNAcentral.
UACAGAGGUCCCGAGCGUUGUUCGGAUUUACUGGGCGUAAAGGGUGCGUAGGUGGCAGGGUAAGUUCGGUGUGAAAGCUCCGGGCUCAACCCGGAAACGGCAUUGAAUACUAUCCUGCUGGAGGGUCGGAGGGGAGACUGGAAUUCUCGGUGUAGCAGUGAAAUGCGUAGAUAUCGAGAGGAACACCGGUGGCGAAGGCGAGUCUCUGGACGAUUCCUGACACUGAUGCACGAAAGCUAGGGGAGCAAACAGG